GGAGUGAACGCUGGCGGUAGGCCUAACACAUGCAAGUCGAACGGCAGCACGGUAAGAGCUUGCUCUUAUGGGUGGCGAGUGGCGGACGGGUGAGGAAUACAUCGGAAUCUACCUUUUGGUGGGGGAUAACGUAGGGAAACUUACGCUAAUACCGCAUACGCCCUUCGGGGGAAAGCCGGGGACCAGCAAUGGCCUGGCGCUGAUAGAUGAGCCGAUGUCGGAUUAGCUAGUUGGUGAGGUAAUGGCUCACCAAGGCGACGAUCCGUAGCUGGUCUGAGAGGAUGAUCAGCCACACUGGAACUGAGACACGGUCCAGACUCCUACGGGAGCAGCAGUGGGAAUAGUUGGACAAUGGGCGCAAGCCUGAUCCAGCCAUACCGCGUGGGUGAAGAAGGCCUUGGUUGUAAGCCGUUUUGUAGGAAAGAAAGCAUUCGGUAUACCGUACGUGUGACGUACCGAAC
This 461-nucleotide ribosomal RNA is filed under the name uncultured soil bacterium. RNAcentral describes it as "bacterial SSU rRNA". It matches the Rfam family "Bacterial small subunit ribosomal RNA", at positions 27 to 480 of the family's 1533-position model. The record is from RNAcentral.